Molecule: ribosomal RNA, 322 nt
Filed under: Bacillus sp. (in: firmicutes)
Lineage: Bacteria; Bacillati; Bacillota; Bacilli; Caryophanales; Bacillaceae
Description: bacterial SSU rRNA
Rfam family: Bacterial small subunit ribosomal RNA
Source: RNAcentral
CUGGGCUACACACGUGCUACAAUGGACAGAACAAAGGGCUGCGAGACCGCAAGGUUUAGCCAAUCCCACAAAUCUGUUCUCAGUUCGGAUCGCAGUCUGCAACUCGACUGCGUGAAGCUGGAAUCGCUAGUAAUCGCGGAUCAGCAUGCCGCGGUGAAUACGUUCCCGGGCCUUGUACACACCGCCCGUCACACCACGAGAGUUUGCAACACCCGAAGUCGGUGAGGUAACCUUUAUGGAGCCAGCCGCCGAAGGUGGGGCAGAUGAUUGGGGUGAAGUCGUAACAAGGUAGCCGUAUCGGAAGGUGCGGUUGGAUCACCUC